Molecule: ribosomal RNA, 274 nt
Filed under: uncultured bacterium
Lineage: Bacteria
Description: partial 16S ribosomal RNA
Rfam family: Bacterial small subunit ribosomal RNA
Source: RNAcentral
AUACGGAGGGUGCAAGCGUUACUCGGAAUCACUGGGCGUGAAGCGCGCGCAGGCGGUCUUUUAAGUUGGAUGUGAAAGCCUACGGCUCAACCGUAGAACUGCAUCCAAAACUAUUAGACUAGAGUGUGGGAGAGGAAGAUGGAAUUAGUUGUGUAGGGGUAAAAUCCGUAGAGAUAACUAGGAAUACCAAAAGCGAAGGCAAUCUUCUGGAACACUACUGACGCUGAGGCGCGAAAGCGUGGGGAGCAAACAGGAUUAGAAACCCUAGUAGUCC